This 2526-nucleotide ribosomal RNA is filed under the name human gut metagenome. RNAcentral describes it as "bacterial LSU rRNA". It matches the Rfam family "Bacterial large subunit ribosomal RNA", at positions 1 to 2539 of the family's 2925-position model. The record is from RNAcentral.
AUAAGCUACAAAGAGCGUAGGGAGGAUGCCUUGGUAUAUGGCGCCGAAGAAGGACGUGACAAGCUGCGAAAAGCCGUGAGGAGUUGCACAUAAACGAAAGGACUCACGGAUAUCCGAAUGAGGGAACUCAGCGCGAGUAAUAUUGCGUUACGGCAUAAUGAAUAAAUAGUUAUGUCGGGGGAACCCGGGGAACUGAAACAUCUAAUUACCCGGAGGAAAAGAAAGUAAAAACGAUUCCGAAAGUAGUGGCGAGCGAAAUCGGAGAAGCCCAAACGAUAUAUAGAAAUAUGUAUCGGGUAAGGACUUGCGGAAAGCGAAAGGAUGAUCUAGUGGAACAGAACUGGAAAGUUCGGUCAGAGAGGGUAAAAGCCCCGUAGACGAAAGAUUGAUCUAACGCGAGCAAGAAUCCGGAGUACGUCGGGACACGAGGAAUCCUGACGGAAGAAAGGAGGACCAUCUCCUAAGGCUAAAUACGACCAUAUGACCGAUAGAGUAUAGUACCGUGAGGGAAAGGUGAAAAGAACCCCGGGAGGGGAGUGAAAAAGAACCUGAAACCCUAUGCUUACGAGCAGACAUAGCACUAUUAAAAGUGUGGUGUCGUACUUUUUGUAGAACGGGCCGGCGAGUUACGACGUUAUGCGAGGUUAAGAUGUAAAGCAUCGGAGCCGAAGCGAAAGCGAGUUUGAAGAGAGCGAUGAUAGUAUUGCGUCGUAGACCCGAAACCGGAUGACCUAACCAUGAGCAGGUUGAAGCAGCGGUAAAACGCUGUGGAGGACCGAACGCACGCCUGUUGAAAUAGUCGGCGAUGACUUGUGGUUAGCGGAGAAAUUCCAAUCGAAUCCGGAUAUAGCUGGUUCUCCUCGAAAUAGCUUUAGGGCUAGCCUGUAGCAAGAAUACCGAAGGUAGAGCACUGUAUGGUCUAGGGGGUUUCACGACCUACCGAAACUUAACAAACUUCGAAUGACGGAUAUUUGAUGCUAUGGAGUCAGACAGCGACAGAUAAGUGCCGUUGUCAAAAGGGAAACAGCCCAGAUCCGCAACUAAGGUCCCCAAGUACAGGUUAAGUGGAAAACGAUGUGUCAUUGCAUAAACAACCAGGACGUUGGCUUAGAAGCAGCCACGCGUUCAAAGAGUGCGUAAUAGCUCACUGGUCGAGUGAUGGUGCGCGGAAGAUUCACGGGGCUAAAACCUGACACCGAAGUUCGGGAAUACAGAAUAAUGUAUUGGUAGAGGAGCAAUCUAUACGGGCGGAAGCGAUACCGGAAGGAGUCGUGGACUGUAUAGAAGAGAGAAUGCCGGCAUAAGUAGCGAGAGCGGAGCGAGAAACUCCGCCGUCGAAAGUCUGAGGUUUUCCGGGGAAGGUUCGUCCGCCCGGAGAAAGUCGGGACCUAAGCGGAGGCCGAAAGGCGUACGUGAUGGACAGCAGGUUGAUAUUCCUGCACUACCGAGAGAGACAAUGAAGCAAUGACACGGAAAGAUAGAAGAAGCGCGCGGAUGGAAAAGCGCGUCCAAGCAAAGAGGGUGGCUGGUAGUAAAGAACGCCAGUCGGAAGCCUGAUUUGUGACGGGGAGUGGACCAAGGAAACGAAGUCUUUGAAUCUACGCCGGCGAGAAAAGUUGCUAAAUAUUUCGAGGUACCCGUACCGCAAACCGACACAGGUAGACGAGAAGAAAAUUCUAAGACGAACGGGAGAACCCUUGUUAAGGAACUCGGCAAAACGACCCCGUAACUUCGGGAGAAGGGGAGCCAUCGAGAGAUGGCCGCAGUGAAGAGGCCCAAGCGACUGUUUAUCAAAAACACAGGUUUCUGCUAAGGCGAAAGCCAAGGUAUAGGAGCUGACUCCUGCCCAGUGCCGGAAGGUCAAGGGGACUUGUUAGUCGAAAGGCGAAGCAACGAACUUAAGCCCCGGUGAACGGCGGCCGUAACUAUAACGGUCCUAAGGUAGCGAAAUUCCUUGUCGGGUAAGUUCCGACCCGCACGAAAGGCGUAAUGAUUUGGACGCUGUCUCAACAGGGGGCCCGGCGAAAUUGUAGUAUACGUGAAGAUGCGUAUUAACCCGCGACUGGACGGAAAGACCCCGUAGAGCUUUACUGUAGCUUGAUAUUGAUGCACGACAACGAAUGCACAGGAUAGGUGGGAGACUUAGAGACAGGGACUUCGGUUUCUGAGGAGUCGACGUUGGGAUACCACCCUUUCAUUGUUGGGCAUCUAACGGACGGCCGUGAACCGGCGUACGGACAGUGUCAGGCGGGCAGUUUGACUGGGGCGGUCGCCUCCUAAAAUGUAACGGAGGCGCCCAAAGGUUCCCUCAGGAUGGUUGGAAAUCAUCCGGCGAGUGUAAAGGCACAAGGGAGCUUGACUGCGAGACCGGCAGGUCGGGCAGAUACGAAAGUAGGGCUUAGUGAUCCGGCGGUAGAGAAUGGAAUUGCCGUCGCUUAACGGAUAAAAGUUACCUCGGGGAUAACAGGCUGAUCUCCCCCAAGAGUUCACAUCGACGGGGAGGUUUGGCACCUCGAUGUCGGCUCG